Molecule: ribosomal RNA, 374 nt
Filed under: uncultured organism
Description: bacterial SSU rRNA
Rfam family: Archaeal small subunit ribosomal RNA
Source: RNAcentral
CCAGCACCCCGAGUGGUCGGGACGAUUAUUGGGCCUAAAGCAUCCGUAGCCGGUUUUACAAGUCCUCCGUUAAAUCCAACUGCUUAACAGAUGGGCCGCGGAGGAUACUAUAAGACUAGGAGGCAGGAGAGGCAAGCGGUACUCAGUGGGUAGGGGUAAAAUCCGUUGAUCCAUUGAAGACCACCAGUGGCGAAGGCGGCUUGCCAGAAUGCGCUCGACGGUGAGGGAUGAAAGCUGGGGGAGCAAACCGGAUUAGAUACCCGGGUAGUCCCAGCUGUAAACGAUGCAGACUCGGUGAUGGACUAGCUUCAUGCUAGUCCAGUGCCGCAGGGAGCCGUUAAGUCUGCCGCCUGGGUAGUACGGUCGCAAGACUG